RNAcentral lists this ribosomal RNA (141 nucleotides) under Coryanthes elegantium. RNAcentral's name for it is "partial 18S ribosomal RNA". It matches the Rfam family "Eukaryotic small subunit ribosomal RNA", at positions 1695 to 1831 of the family's 1831-position model. The record is from RNAcentral. Lineage: Eukaryota; Viridiplantae; Streptophyta; Magnoliopsida; Asparagales; Orchidaceae.
GGUCNGGUGAAGUGUUCGGAUCGCUGCGACGUGGGUGGUUCGCCGCCCGCGACUCGGUGAGAAGUCCAUUGAACCUUAUCAUUUAGAGGAAGGAGAAGUCGUAACAAGGUUUCCGUAGGUGAACCUGCGGAAGGAUCAUUG